Long non-coding RNA from Spodoptera frugiperda (fall armyworm), 1014 nucleotides. RefSeq lists it as uncharacterized. NCBI's taxonomy places the organism in Eukaryota, Metazoa, Arthropoda, Insecta, Lepidoptera, Noctuidae. The transcript has 2 exons. The record is from RefSeq and is a predicted model, not a curated record.
UACCUCUACCAUGAGUUGACGUAGUUUUGACAUCUUACUCUACUACAGUAGUAAAUGUGACAACGCAACUACAAUAGAUGGCUUUAAUGUUCGUACCAUGAGAUGUUUUGAUGUUAACUACCCUCGCUGUAGUUGCAUCUAUAUCGUUCGUAGUAUCGUUCAUUAUGUAUCAAUUUUAAGCAUAGUAGUUCUAACUCUUUUUAUUCGCAUCACUUAGAAAGAGAGAAAAGACUGUUUAUGUUUCAAAUCUAAACGGUGAUAUUAACCAACAAAAAAAUAUAAUACAUCGGUUACACAUAAUUUGGUAUUAUUGUGAGCUUUUUUAAUUUAUUAGAAUUGCUUUGACAUUGAUUGUCAGCCGGACAUUUUUGUAACAUGUGUGUUUCCGUGACAACCCGGGAGUUCGAAAAAAUAAUAUUUGUUAAAUUAUUUAAAAAAAUGCCUAAGAGAAGUGCAACUCAAUUUGAGACGAUGGUAGAUUUUUGGAAAGGUAAGUUUUCCAUUAGAUAAUAAUAUUUCAUACAUUUAUUUACUUAGUUUAAUUAUCAAAGAAGUAUGUUUUUUUGCGCCAGGGAAUGCUUGAGCCUUUUUUACCAAAGGAACGUUGUGAUAUGACCCUUUGCUUCCUCUUAGAUGAGGAGUAUAGAAGACUGUAGUGGUUAGGUUGAUUAAUAGGUAUUUCUUGUAUAAUGUUGUGUACAAAAUAUGAUUUUGUUUAUACAGAAGUGGAGACCUAAGCAAAACCUAAGUCCGCUACAUGGGCGAGAGUAGGCGUCAGCGCAGUCUGAAGCAGCCUUCAAGGACUGCUACAUGGUGGGACCUGUCGGAAAAUAUAGCAGUAAGUGCGGUGAAUCCGCGAGGGCAACCAUCCCCAGAGAAGCUUCAUUCCAGUGGAAUACCUACACAGCCUGACAACGUGACAUGUGGUGAUGUAAAUUCAGCAACAAGCUCGAUGGCAAGACUUGUUGCAGCAACUUCUGUUAAAUAAAUAAAUAAACAUAUUUUUUCAAUGUG